This 402-nucleotide ribosomal RNA is filed under the name uncultured bacterium. RNAcentral describes it as "bacterial SSU rRNA". It matches the Rfam family "Bacterial small subunit ribosomal RNA", at positions 358 to 772 of the family's 1533-position model. The record is from RNAcentral.
GGAAUAUUGCACAAUGGGCGGAAGCCUGAUGCAGCGACGCCGCGUGAGGGAUGACGGCCUUCGGGUUGUAAACCUCUUUCAGCAGGGACGAAGCGCAAGUGACGGUACCUGCAGAAGAAGCGCCGGCCAACUACGUGCCAGCAGCCGCGGUAAGACGUAGGGCGCGAGCGUUGUCCGGAUUUAUUGGGCGUAAAGAGCUCGUAGGCGGCUUGUCGCGUCGAAUGUGAAAUCUCAGGGCUCAACUCUGACAUUGCAUUCGAUACGGGCAGGCUAGAGUUCGGUAGGGGAGACUGGAAUUCCUGGUGUAGCGGUGAAAUGCGCAGAUAUCAGGAGGAACACCGGUGGCGAAGGCGGGUCUCUGGGCCGAUACUGACGCUGAGGAGCGAAAGCGUGGGGAGCGAA